This 395-nucleotide unclassified non-coding RNA is filed under the name soil metagenome. RNAcentral describes it as "partial contains 5.8S ribosomal RNA, internal transcribed spacer 2, and large subunit ribosomal RNA". The stretch from base 1 to 120 matches the Rfam family "5.8S ribosomal RNA", at positions 35 to 154 of the family's 154-position model. The record is from RNAcentral.
GAUGAAGAACGUAGCGAAAUGCGAUAAGUAAUGUGAAUUGCAGAAUUCAGUGAAUCAUCGAAUCUUUGAACGCACCUUGCGCUCCUUGGUAUUCCGAGGAGCAUGCCUGUUUGAGUGUCAUUAAACUCUCAACUGUACAAGUUUUGAUAACUUUGUAUGGCUUGGAUGUGGGAUUUUGCAGGCUUGUGUCUUUACAAGUCAGCUGUCCUUAAAUGCAUUAGCAAAGCUUUCUUGUUGCUAACUUCUGGUGUGAUAAUUAUCUACGCCGUUGUUAAAUAGCAUCCUAGUUAUAAGGGCUUAGCUUCUAACUGUCUUUCUGAAGACAAUAUUUUGAUAUCUGACCUCAAAUCAGGUAGGAUUACCCGCUGAACUUAAGCAUAUCAAUAAGCGGAGGA